GACGAACGCUGGCGGCGCGCCUAACACAUGCAAGUCGAACGAGGUGAAUUUUCUCACUGAGUUUUUUGCUCAGUCAGUGGGGAGCGUCAUGGAUGCGGAGCAUCCAUUAGGCUCAUAAAAGAAGACUGACACAAAGGGCAAAAGGCUGAGUGAGGAAAUUCACUUAGUGGCGAACGGGUGAGUAACGCGUGAGGAACCUGCCUCAAAGAGGGGGACAACAGUUGGAAACGACUGCUAAUACCGCAUAAGCCCACAGCUCCGCAUGGAGCAGAGGGAAAAGGAGUGAUCCGCUUUGAGAUGGCCUCGCGUCCGAUUAGCUAGUUGGUGAGGUAACGGCCCACCAAGGCGACGAUCGGUAGCCGGACUGAGAGGUUGAUCGGCCACAUUGGGACUGAGACACGGCCCAG
RNAcentral lists this ribosomal RNA (407 nucleotides) under uncultured bacterium. RNAcentral's name for it is "bacterial SSU rRNA". It matches the Rfam family "Bacterial small subunit ribosomal RNA", at positions 28 to 334 of the family's 1533-position model. The record is from RNAcentral.